UUUUUUUUAAACGAAGGGAGUAAAAUUUAUCUAUCAACUUUUGCUUCCCUAUAAAUGCAUUGGUUAAGAGUGACAAUUAAAAUCAAUAAUAACAAUCAAAUAGACUCUUGUGCUACCACAAAAAACAUUGAAGAGAAUGGAGAAGGCAACAUUCUUCAAGAUUUUCUUGGUCUCAAUUUUGCUUAUUUUGUUAGGUAAGCAUUUCUCCUAUCUAGCAACUUUUCUAGACAAGUUUUAGCAAUUUAUGUGUCCUUUUGAUAUUAUGAAUAAAAUUUAAGUUAUAUGCAUUCACAAUACAAUUAUAUUAUCUGGCAAUUUGACUUGUCAUAGCAUGCCUCUUAUCAUUUAUUGUACGUUAAUAGAGUUACAUACAAUUACGUACCAUUGAAUUGAUCUAAUUGUAAAUAAUAAAAAUAUAUUUGUGUUUUCAUUACAUAGAACAAAACUCCAUGUAUAUAUGCAUUUGUUCACAUUUUCAUAUGUUUACAUCGCUUGUUAAAAAUCUUGCAUACGUCACUAACUUAUAUUCCACAACGUCAACAUUGCUAGGACUAGGAAGCCAUGCGACAGGAUGCACUAGAGAUGCCGAUUGUGUUAAGGUUGUGAGAUGCAUAGACUCACAUCCCGAAUGUGACUUGAUAAAACAUCUAUGCGUCUGUCGAGCUCCACCAGCUAGUUAUGGAAUAAAAAGCAUUCACAAGACUGAGCAAAACUGAUUUAUGUUUGUUAUUCAUGUGCAAAUAAAUUGAACCAUCAUUUAUGUUUUUCCAUGUCAUAAGGUUCAAUAAAGGUUCCUUAUUUUCAUAUUGAUCAUGUUGGAU
RNAcentral lists this long non-coding RNA (821 nucleotides) under Capsicum annuum. RNAcentral's name for it is "long non-coding RNA (CANN_LNC005974)". The record is from RNAcentral. Lineage: Eukaryota; Viridiplantae; Streptophyta; Magnoliopsida; Solanales; Solanaceae.